UGAAUACGAGAUGCUACGGCGUCGAAGCAGUCUAUGUCAUACUUCCAAGAAAAGCUCGCACUGUCAUAAACAAAUAAUGCCUGUACCAUAACCGACACAGGUGGGUAGGUAGAGUAUACUAAGGGGCGCGAGAUAACUCUCUCUAAGGAACUCGGCAAAAUGACUCCGUAACUUCGGGAGAAGGAGUGCCUUAUUUAUAAGGUUGCAAUAACAAGAUCCAAGCAACUGUUUAUCAAAAACACAGGUCUCCGCUAAGUCGUAAGACGAUGUAUGGGGGCUGACGCCUGCCCAGUGCCAGAAGGUUAAAGAAGUUGGUUAGCAUUCGCGAAGCUGAUAACUGAAGCCCUGGUGAACGGCGGCCGUAGCUAUAACGGUCCUAAGGUAGCGAAAUUCCUUGUCGGGUAAGUUCCGACCCGCACGAAAGGCGUAAUGAUUUGGAUACUGUCUCGGAGAGGGGCUCGGUGAAAUAGACUUGUCUGUGAAGAUGCGGACUACCUGCACCAGGACAGAAAGACCCUAUGAAGCUUUACUGUAACUUGAGAUUGAAAUUGGACUUUACUUGCGCAGUAUAGGUGGGAGGCGUUGAUAAUAUUCUUGCGGGAUUAUUUGAGCCAUCAGUGAGAUACCACUCUUGUAAUGUUAGAUUUCUAACUUUGUAUCAUUAUCUGGUCAAAGGACAGUUUCAGGCGGGCAGUUUGACUGGGGCGGUCGCCUCCUAAACGGUAACGGAGGCGCACAAAGGUUUCCUCUGAACGGGUAGAAAUCGUAUCUAGAGUGUAAAGGCAUAAGGAAGCUUGACUGUGAGACCUACAAGUCGAGCAGGGACGAAAGUCGGUCUUAGUGAUCUGACGGUGCUGAGUGGAAAGGCCGUCACUCAACGGAUAAAAGUUACUCUAAGGAUAACAGGCUGAUCUCCCCCAAGAGUUCACAUCGACGGGGAGGUUUGGCACCUCGAUGUCGGCUCAUCGCAUCCUGGGGCGGUAGUACGUCCCAAGGGUUGGGCUGUUCGCCCAUGAAAGCGGUACGCGAGCUGGGUUCAGAACGUCGUGAGACAGUUCGGUCCAUAUCCGGUGUAGGCGUUAGAAUAUUGAGAGGAGCCUUCUUUAGUACGAGAGGACCGAGAAGGACAUACCUCUGGUGUACCAGUUAUCGUGCCAACGGUAAACGCUGGGUAGCUAUGUAUGGAGUGGAUAACCGCUGAAAGCAUCUAAGUGGGAAGCCCACCUUAAGAUAAGUAUUCAC
This 1242-nucleotide ribosomal RNA is filed under the name metagenome. RNAcentral's name for it is "bacterial LSU rRNA". It matches the Rfam family "Bacterial large subunit ribosomal RNA", at positions 1564 to 2815 of the family's 2925-position model. The record is from RNAcentral.